UGAAUGGAAAAGUAUAAAGAAAAUAGAAAAAUGAUGCUCAGAGAAGACAAGUAAAUAAUUUCAGGAUAUCAAUAAAUCAGUUGUGUGAUAUUCCAGCAUCUAAAGUCUACGACAUAUUAAGGAGAUCUCGAAUUUCAACUUGGAAAUAGGAAUGGCUGUUUUUAUAAAAUCAGCAGAAAUAUCCACAGGUUGGCCACAUGCUUGCUUGAGAUACUAUUUUAUAUCAAAGAGAAAAAAAAGUAUAUGAUUGUACUGAACGUCUGGAACAGCAGAGAGCAGUGCAUGAUAAUUUAUCUAAAAGAAGAUGAGAUAUUAUUGCGGGUGAAGAAGUUGAAAAAAUUCUUGGCAAGGAUGAUGAAAACACAAAAAGCUUAGAAGAUGACGAGUUUUUCUCAGUUGAAUCCAAAGACGCUAACUAAAUCGUUUACUGAAGUUUCCGAUCGUUAACGCCUGAGCGUUAGAGGCACAAUGUCGAUAUAGAAGCAAAAAUAGUUAAUUCUGUUGGGGCUCCCCUUUUACAGUUCGCUAUUUCAAAAUGUUUAACAUCAAAAGAAACGAACAAAUCAAGAUUGGAAAACCAAUAGUUUCACAAAUUGAGCUAAAUAAUCCAAGACUUUAAAAACUAAUCCAAGACUUUAAAAACUAAUUCAAGACUUUAAAAACUAAUCCAAGACUUUAAAAACUAAUCUAAGACUUUAAAAACUAAUCCAAGACUAAUGAGAAUUGUCACAAACGGGUGUCCCUAUUCGGAAAAAAGGAGAACUUAAAUAACGUAUAAUUUUUUUUACCAUUGUUUUUCGCAAUUUUGUACAUUAGUAACAUAUUAUGUCAUGUGCAACUCUUAAAAAUUUUUCA
Hydra vulgaris (swiftwater hydra) is the source of this 855-nucleotide non-coding RNA. The record is from RefSeq and is a predicted model, not a curated record. NCBI's taxonomy places the organism in Eukaryota, Metazoa, Cnidaria, Hydrozoa, Anthoathecata, Hydridae.